Non-coding RNA from Paramormyrops kingsleyae, 1399 nucleotides. Lineage: Eukaryota; Metazoa; Chordata; Actinopteri; Osteoglossiformes; Mormyridae. The record is from RefSeq and is a predicted model, not a curated record.
UGCAAUUCCUGGCUAUAUAUGGCACCCCCACCUUCAUACUCAAGCCAUGAAAUCCUAUAAAGAAUCCCUCUACACACUUUCCAUUUAAUUAUUGUAAAAUUCAUUAUUUAUAAUAUAUAUUAAAUAUAAUGAUAUUAAUAUGAACGUGUGAUUGGAAUGCAUACAAGGUGAACUGAACAGACAACCGAGGAAUUAAUUGAAAUAUAGUGAUGUGGUAUUGGGGGGGCACAAUGAUUGAGGCAUCUGGGAUAAAUGUAAUGAAACUACCCCCCAGGCCUUUUUAAAUGCCUUGAUAAGUACUGAAUAAUAAAUGUUGCACCUUUCUUUCUUUUUUCAAAUUCUGUCCUCUUUGUGUGUUGUUAAUUAACGAUGAUACAAGUCAAACUGAUACAUAUAUACACACACACACAUAAAGCAAAGUAUAAACGCUGAACAGCAUUAUUAUUAUGAUGCAUUAUGAGAUCAUAAAAUGGCUUCCAAACCUUUUAUGAAGGAUAUUUCUGCAUAAUCCAUAUAAUCACAUGCAUUCUAAUGCAUUCAGAAGAUAAUGCUUCAUACACAGCAAAGUGCUCCAGCACGUGAACAUGAACAGGUCCUUCAACACUAAGUGAAAGCUGCUAUUCUUUAUGAGGUAAUGAGUGAGUGUGAACGAGGAAGUGAUCUUGUGUGGUAGGUGGGCUUUGCAGAUGAAAGGAAAACAGAAUGCUGAAUUACUUCCGUUUCAGACCGGGAAAGUUCAGUCGAGCAUGUUCCAUAUGGGGACGCGUGCAAAGCUGAAAGAGGCUGAAGGUUUAGCAGCUGUGUUCCUACCCAGUUUAUCGUAAAGCAGCAGAACACCAACCUCAAAUGUUCUCAUGGGCUGAUGUCCAAGGGCAUUCUCGACAGUGUCUCAAGCCCAGAAACCCACAUGAUACAACACACACUGGUACUUACAGUGGUGUUAUACUGGCUUUGUCUGAUAAACCCCUUUAACAAUCACAUUAGAGCUUUUAGCAUGAUCGACAGAAAAAGGUUUCAAAGCCUCAAAUUAGCAAGUGCACAUAAAGAAGUAUCAGAGUUGUCUAAAAGUAACAGUUGUCAUGACAUAGUUGUGUAAGAGAAUGACUGAUAUAGAUGAUCCAUUUGCAAACUCAAGAUCAUCUUGGUUUCUUGUAAUUUGUUUCUUGAGUUUUGUUUUUCUUUCCAAACCGUUAUAUCUGUACUAGUAGAACUCCAGAAAAUCUUAUUUCAUGAUCAUGUUUUUUUUUCUGUUUUCUGAUAGUCAAAGAACCUUACUUUCACAAUUUUACACAAAUUAUAAUAAAAGUGAUGGUAAAGGCUUAAUAUCCAUGAUACAGAUGUCUUAUGUAUUUUUAUAAAUGUAGAGGAAAAACUAAAAAAUUGUGGGAACUGCUGUAAA